Lucilia cuprina (Australian sheep blowfly) is the source of this 927-nucleotide long non-coding RNA. RefSeq lists it as uncharacterized. The transcript has 10 exons. NCBI's taxonomy places the organism in Eukaryota, Metazoa, Arthropoda, Insecta, Diptera, Calliphoridae. The record is from RefSeq and is a predicted model, not a curated record.
GUUGCAAAUUAUGAUAUAAAUAAAUGCUAAAAUUGGUAUCGUUUUUUAUUUGCUGAAAAUUUUUGACAUACUAAAAGGAGAUUUCCAUUGGUAAAAUGCUAAAAUGCUAUUUAGAUAUAUGUAUUUAUUUUUAAAAACUCAAGCCUUUCAUCAUAUAUUUUACAAACUUGCGGAUUAUUAAGAUCAAUAAUUUUGUGACAGACUUUAAGAAUUUCAAGAAUUACUUUGUCGAACAGGCAUUUUAAAUCAAGAACUUUCUUCAAACUAAGAUAACAAACUCUAUUGGUGGUCAAAAGUUAAUUUUUAUCUUGGAAUUUUUUUUAAAAAUUCAACACAGGUUCCAGCGAAAAUGCCAAUAUCUAUGAUAAGAAAAUGGUCAUCAUCAGUUAAUGAAAUGGAUUUCUGGAGAAUUUUGAUGUUAUGCGGAUAAUUGGAUUCCCACAACAUAUUUCCAGUUACAUAUUUUGCAAAUUUAUUGUGUCGUCGCUCGCUCAUCGAUGUUUUAGCUUUGCCGCUCUCAACAGUCGUUCGCUUAUCACAAGUUCUCUCUGUUUUUAUUUUACUCACAGCAAGAAUCAAGAAUAACCGAAAAUAGAAUAAGUAUAAGAAAAACAAAUGCUAGUAGUGGUAGCAAAUUGUCAAAAACGGAAGUGGAAAUGUAUGCGGGCAAUUUUUAAAAGGCGCUAUUUUUUCUACUUUAUACUCGAUAUGCAGCAUUAUUGUACUAUAAAAACAAGUAUAAAUUUAGACUCGGCAUUGCCGACCAUAUUCUAUGGACUAUUCUAUAGACUAGUCAAUUGGCAAUUCCAUUGAUAAGACUAUAUUUUAGUCGAUCGGUUAAUCGGUAAAUUUUUGACUAUUAAUCGCUCGAAUAAAUGAAAAUUGCCAAACUUCAAAUAACGAAUAAACCGAAUAAUUUAUAUCAAU